This 75-nucleotide transfer RNA is filed under the name Candidatus Sungbacteria bacterium RIFCSPHIGHO2_02_FULL_49_12. RNAcentral describes it as "tRNA-Arg". It matches the Rfam family "tRNA". Rfam says of the family: Transfer RNA (tRNA) molecules are approximately 80 nucleotides in length. Their secondary structure includes four short double-helical elements and three loops (D, anti-codon, and T loops). Lineage: Bacteria; Candidatus Sungiibacteriota. The record is from RNAcentral.
GGCCCCAUCGUUCAACGGAUAGGACGGAAGCUUGCGGAGCUUCAAAUAGGGGUUCGAUUCCUCUUGGGGCCAUCA